This is a long non-coding RNA of Schistocerca gregaria, 607 nucleotides long. RefSeq lists it as uncharacterized. The transcript is spliced from 2 exons. The record is from RefSeq and is a predicted model, not a curated record. Lineage: Eukaryota; Metazoa; Arthropoda; Insecta; Orthoptera; Acrididae.
CAUUGGUAGCAGUGGCGGAGGUCCACGGACAACCUCAAGAGUCUACCAGCGCCAGCAUCUUGAAUGAAAAUCUAAGCACCGGCAAUAUCACGGCUGAGAAUAGAUUUUUGGCGAGGUCGUCCUACACGGAAGAUGACGAUGAUACCAUUUGUGUCGCGGCAGACAACAAAUUCUACCUGUAUGCUAAUUCGUUGAAGCUGUAUUCUUGCUACAACCAACUACCGAAAGUUUACGUGGUGAAACCAAAGAGUCAGUGUAAACCAUACCUGUCAGAUUGCCCCAGGAACUAGGAGUAUUGUCCGUUGGCUCGGAUUGAAUCGUCUGCGACGGAGUGAAGACUAAAUGGCUGGUCUGCUGACCGAAGACAUCUGGUGUUUCUAGAGGAGCGAAGAAACUGAAAGAGCGUCAGAACUUGACUCAUUUACUUGAACAUAACCGGUGGAAUCUACACAUCCUAUUCUGUGUUAGCUUCUGAUUACUUCACGACAUGCUGUAUAUUUCAUUACUGUGAAGGUUAGUAUUAAAAACAUUGCAUUUGUUUUCUUUUAAUCUUUCUGUUGUUUCGGUAAUACUUGUAUGCCGACGCAAUAAAAAUGUAGUUUCAUGA